AUGCUGAGGUAAUCGCUGUAUGCAUGUUCAUACAGAGGAAAGUCCAUGCUCGCACAAGCUGAGAUGCUUGUAGUGUUCGUGCUUGAUGAAACCAUAAGUCAAGGUAGCAUACAUGGCUAACGGCAGGGAAUUGAUCUACGUUCUUGAUGAAUAGGAUCAAAUGACCUUGAAAGUGCCACAGUGACGUAGUUCUACUGGAAACGGUAGAAGUGGAACGAGGUAAACCCCGCGAGCGAGCAACCCAAAAUUAGGUAGGGGCACUUUUCUGAGGGAAUUCAACCAAUAGGAAGAGACAAGAGGUUACUUGUAGAUAGAUGAUUACCACUGGAGUACGAGGUUGACCACCAUUUGCAGUACAAAGGUACAGAACAUGGCUUACCAAG
This 383-nucleotide RNase P RNA is filed under the name Pontibacillus litoralis JSM 072002. Its description in RNAcentral is "Bacterial RNase P class B". It matches the Rfam family "Bacterial RNase P class B". From Rfam's summary of the family: Ribonuclease P (RNase P) is a ubiquitous endoribonuclease, found in archaea, bacteria and eukarya as well as chloroplasts and mitochondria. The record is from Rfam by way of RNAcentral. Lineage: Bacteria; Bacillati; Bacillota; Bacilli; Caryophanales; Bacillaceae.